Molecule: ribosomal RNA, 506 nt
Filed under: Scheffersomyces coipomensis
Lineage: Eukaryota; Fungi; Ascomycota; Pichiomycetes; Serinales; Debaryomycetaceae
Description: eukaryotic LSU rRNA
Rfam family: Eukaryotic large subunit ribosomal RNA
Source: RNAcentral
UUAAGCAUAUCAAUAAGCGGAGGAAAAGAAACCAACAGGGAUUGUCUUAGUAACGGCGAGUGAAGCGACAAAAGCUCAAAUUUGAAAUCUGGCGCCUUCGGUGUCCGAGUUGUAAUUUGAAGAAGGUAACUUUGGUUUUGGCUCUUGUCUAUGUUCCUUGGAACAGGACGUCACAGAGGGUGAGAAUCCCGUGCGAUGAGAUGCCCAAUUCCAUGUAAAGUGCUUUCGAAGAGUCGAGUUGUUUGGGAAUGCAGCUCUAAGUGGGUGGUAAAUUCCAUCUAAAGCUAAAUAUUGGCGAGAGACCGAUAGCGAACAAGUACAGUGAUGGAAAGAUGAAAAGAACUUUGAAAAGAGAGUGAAAAAGUACGUGAAAUUGUUGAAAGGGAAGGGUUUGAGAUCAGACUUGGUAUUUUGUAUGUUUUACUCUCGGGUGAGGCCUCUGCAGUUUACUGGGCCAGCAUCAGUUUGGAUGGUAGGAUAAUGACAUUGGAAUGUGGCUCUUCGGA